AAAGUCGUAACAAGGUUUCCGUAGGUGAACCUGCGGAAGGAUCAUUACAUUCAGUACUUUCGGGGCUUGUAAGUCUAUAUCACUAUAGCAUGCCUCUGUCUGAACCCUUGUCUUUUGCGUACUUAUGUUUCCUCGGCGGGCCUGCCCGCCGUUGGACAACCUAAAAACCUUUUUAAUUUUCAAUCAGCGUCUGAACAAACAUAAUAAUUACAACUUUCAACAACGGAUCUCUUGGUUCUGGCAUCGAUGAAGAACGCAGCGAAAUGCGAUAAGUAGUGUGAAUUGCAGAAUUCAGUGAAUCAUCGAAUCUUUGAACGCACAUUGCGCCCCUUGGUAUUCCAUGGGGCAUGCCUGUUCGAGCGUCAUUUGUACCCUCAAGCUCUGCUUGGUGUUGGGUGUUUGUCCUCUCCUUCGCGGUUGGACUCGCCUUAAAGUAAUUGGCAGCCAGUGUAUUGGUCUUGAAGCGCAGCACAAUUUGCGAUUCUUGCUAAUCAUCACUAGCAUCCAUAAAGCCUUUUUAUCACUUUUGACCUCGGAUCAGGUAGGGAUACCCGCUGAACUUA
This 563-nucleotide ribosomal RNA is filed under the name uncultured fungus. RNAcentral's name for it is "eukaryotic LSU rRNA". The stretch from base 212 to 365 matches the Rfam family "5.8S ribosomal RNA". Lineage: Eukaryota; Fungi. The record is from RNAcentral.